GUCGCUUCUCGGCCUUCGGCUAAGAUCACGUGGGGUGUCCGUUCUUACCGGUUUAGUACCCGGCAUGUGCUGCCUCUGAGGGCAGCAUAUAAGUGGAGUUUUGGAGCAGGGAGAGGGAAGAGGAGCUGGCCCCGUCCGCUCCACGCGCCGACCUGGCAUUGCAGGGGCUGCAGGCACGGUGCACCCCCU
This is a small nuclear RNA of Lemur catta (Ring-tailed lemur), 189 nucleotides long. RefSeq annotates it as U2 spliceosomal RNA. The transcript has a single exon. Lineage: Eukaryota; Metazoa; Chordata; Mammalia; Primates; Lemuridae. The record is from RefSeq and is a predicted model, not a curated record.